RNAcentral lists this ribosomal RNA (523 nucleotides) under uncultured prokaryote. RNAcentral's name for it is "bacterial SSU rRNA". It matches the Rfam family "Bacterial small subunit ribosomal RNA", at positions 355 to 896 of the family's 1533-position model. The record is from RNAcentral.
UGGGGAAUAUUGGACAAUGGGCGCAAGCCUGAUCCAGCCAUGCCGCAUGGAUGAUGAAGGCCUUAGGGUUGUAAAGUCCUUUUAACGGGGAAGAUAAUGACGGUACCCGCAGAAUAAGCCCCGGCUAACUUCGUGCCAGCAGCCGCGGUAAGACGAAGGGGGCUAGCGUUGUUCGGAAUUACUGGGCGUAAAGCGAGUGUAGGUGGUUGUCAUAGUCAGGUGUGAAAGCCUUGAGCUCAACUCAAGAAAUGCACUUGAUACUAGGCGACUAGAGGACCGGAGAGGAUAGUGGAAUUCCCAGUGUAGUGGUGAAAUACGUAGAGAUUGGGAAGAACACCAGUGGCGAAGGCGGCUAUCUGGACGGUUUCUGACACUAAGACUCGAAAGCGUGGGGAGCAAACAGGAUUAGAUACCCUGGUAGUCCACGCCGUAAACGAUGGGUGCUAGACGUUGGCGGGCUUGCUCGUCAGUGUCGCAGCUAACGCGUUAAGCACCCCGCCUGGGGAGUACGGCCGCAAGGUUG